Long non-coding RNA from Oncorhynchus kisutch (coho salmon), 1065 nucleotides. NCBI's taxonomy places the organism in Eukaryota, Metazoa, Chordata, Actinopteri, Salmoniformes, Salmonidae. The record is from Ensembl.
GGAAGUGACAGACAGUUCUUCUGUUGUGUCAGAUCCUGUUCAAUAUAAAUACUUGCAAUGUUAUUAAAGUGAGUUAACUGCUAAUAGCCAUAUUCACUUUGCUGCCCAGUGUGUGUGAGAGAAGCUGAACUAACUAAACACUCGACUGUCUCGACAGGUAGACAUAUCACAUUGAUUGCGUUUGAACAACUUCUUCACGAACAUCCUUGCAAUGCUGACUUGCACCACGAAUGCUGACUUGCAUCACGAAUGCUGUCUUCCCACAACGGCGACUGAUGAGCGGCUGGUUGCUGGUUGCAAGCAGUGGAAGACACACAGCGGAGUGGUUCAGUCAAUGGGAGCAGUGGUGUCUCUUUACCGGGGCCUUUGUGUGGAGAACAGGUUGGGUUGUAGCAUUGUGGCUCUAACCGGCAGAGCUGACAUAGAUCCAGUUAAUAACUAAAAGGGCCCCACUACACAGUGGGAUCCCUAUCUGCCUGCCACACUGACCUCUGAGAGGGGCUACCCAGGGGGCCUUGGUGUCCCUGUCCCCCAGUCACAAUGAGGGGCAUCCAGCAUCGCCCUCCACCCCCACCCCCCUCCCUCCAGACAGCCCACCUGCCCAGCUACCCCCCCCAUCCCCCAGAGUGGUGUCUGUGUGCGGCCAGGGCCGGCAUUCCACUCGAACACUGAUGCAGAGUGACCAAAGUGACCGUUUCACACAAGCUGCCCUCCAGUAGAGCUGUGCUGGAGCCAGACUCAGGCAGGCCUGAGAGAACCGGGGACAGGAGGGGACACAGGAUGGACAUCCUUAACUGGAAGGCGACACACUCUGGUCUGUUUGUCUAGAAGGCCAUUUUAAGGCAGAUGCCAACAUAUUUAAGUCAUGGACAUUACUGUCUGAGAUCACACAACUGUAUUUUAUAGAAUGUUCCCAACACAAGAACAGACUUUGUUACGAGUGCUUUUAGCUUGGCUGCCCUAUCAUAUCAGAACACUUUGCAGAAGGAUUUUAAGACUCGAUCAUUUUAUUUCUGAUUGAUGGUUUUAAAUCCCGGGUUGGAGGGCUGCUGUACACAGAUUGCA